CUUGGUCAUUUAGAGGAAGUAAAAGUCGUAACAAGGUUUCCGUAGGUGAACCUGCGGAAGGAUCAUUAUUGAAUAAACUUGGUGGAUUGUUGCUGGCUCUGCUGAGCAUGUGCACGUCUGUCAUUUUUUAUCUUUCCACUAUGUGCACCCAUGCAUAGACCUGAUAUAUAUUUUACUAAUCAAAGUUGCUUUGAUUUCUGGAAACUGCUGUUGUAUAUCACAGCUUUUUCUGUAUUUCAGGUUCUGUGAAAUUUUAUUUAUACUCCUGUGUAUGUUAAUGAACGUUACAAAGGCUGAAAAGCCUAUAAAUUUAUAAUACAACUUUCAGCAACGGAUCUCUUGGCUCUCGCAUCGAUGAAGAACGCAGCGAAAUGCGAUAAGUAAUGUGAAUUGCAGAAUUCAGUGAAUCAUCGAAUCUUUGAACGCACCUUGCGCCCCUUGGUAUUCCGAGGAGCAUGCCUGUUUGAGUGUCAUUCAAUUCUCAAUCUCUAGUAUUUACUUACUGGAUGAUUGGAUGUGGGGGAUCUUGUAGGAUUUUUACAAGUUCUACUCCCCUGAAAUAUAUUAGCUGGGAAUGCCUUUGCAGACUAACUAUCAGUGUGAUAAUUAUCAGUACUGUGGGUUGUUGCAUGAGGGAAUCUGCUUCUUUAACUGUUGCAAGACAACUUGAAUACCUUUGACCUCAAAUCAGGUAGGACUACCCGCUGAACUUAAGCAUAUCAAUAAGCGGAGGA
RNAcentral lists this ribosomal RNA (734 nucleotides) under uncultured fungus. RNAcentral describes it as "eukaryotic LSU rRNA". The stretch from base 320 to 473 matches the Rfam family "5.8S ribosomal RNA". Lineage: Eukaryota; Fungi. The record is from RNAcentral.